Molecule: ribosomal RNA, 290 nt
Filed under: uncultured Desulfobulbus sp.
Lineage: Bacteria; Pseudomonadati; Thermodesulfobacteriota; Desulfobulbia; Desulfobulbales; Desulfobulbaceae
Description: partial 16S ribosomal RNA
Rfam family: Bacterial small subunit ribosomal RNA
Source: RNAcentral
AGCGCAACCCUUGCCUUUAGUUGCCAGCAGUUCGGCUGGGCACUCUAAAGGGAACGUGCCGGUGUUAAACCGGAGGAAGGUGGGGAGUGACGUCAAGUCCUCAUGGCCUUUAUGACCAGGGCUACACACGUACUACAAUGGCCGAUACAAAGGGCAGCGACACUGCGAGGUGAAGCCAAUCCCGUAAAAUCGGUCUCAGUCCGGAUGGGAGUCUGCAACUCGACUCCAUGAAGUUGGAAUCGCCAGUAAUCGUGGAUCAGCAUGCCACGGUGAAUACGUUCCCGGGCCUU